Molecule: long non-coding RNA, 1166 nt
Filed under: Salmo salar (Atlantic salmon)
Lineage: Eukaryota; Metazoa; Chordata; Actinopteri; Salmoniformes; Salmonidae
Description: lncRNA (ENSSSAG00000101322.1)
Source: RNAcentral
GUGGAUACAUCUCCACCACUAUCACUAGCAGGCCUACUGGACUGAGUGGAUACAUGUCCAUGUGUGGAGGUACUGGCUCCACCACUAUCACUAGCAGGUCUACUGGACUGACUGGACACAUCUCCACCACUAUCACUAGCAGGUCUACUGGACUGAGUGGAUACAUCUCCACCACUAUCACUAGCAGGUCUACUGGACUGAGUGGAUACAUCUCCACCACUAUCACUAGCAGGUCUACUGGACUGAGUGGAUACAUCCCCACCACUAUCACUAGCAGGUCUACUGGACUGAGUGGAUACAUCUCCACCACUAACACUAGCAGGUCUACUGGACUGAGUGGAUACAUCUCCACCACUAUCACUAGCAGGUCUACUGGACUGAGUGGAUACAUCUCCACCACUAUCACUAGCAGGUCUACUGGACUGAGUGGAUACAUCUCCACCACUAUCACUAGCAGGUCUACUGGACUGAGUGGAUACAUAUCCACCACUAUCACUAGCAGGCCUACUGGACUGAGUGGAUACAUCUCCAUGUGUGGAGGUACUGGCUCCACCACUAUCACUAGCAGGUCUACUGGACUGAGUGGAUACAUCUCCACCACUAUCACUAGCAGGCCUACUGGACUGAGUGGAUACAUCUCCACGUGUGGAGGUGCUGGCUCCACCACUAUCACUAGCAUGUCUACUUGACUGAGUGGAUACAUCUCCACGUGUGGAGGUGCUGGCUCCACCACUAUCACUAGCAGGCCUACUGGACUGAGUGGGUACUGGCUCCACCACUAUCACUAGCAGGUCUACUGGACUGACUGGACACAUCUCCACCACUAUCACUAGCAGGUCUACUGGACUGAGUGGAUACAUCUCCACCACUAUCACUAGCAGGUCUACUGGACUGAGUGGAUACAUCUCCACCACUAUCACUAGCAGGUCUACUGGACUGAGUGGAUACAUCCCCACCACUAUCACUAGCAGGUCUACUGGACUGAGUGGAUACAUCUCCACCACUAACACUAGCAGGUCUACUGGACUGAGUGGAUACAUCUCCACCACUAUCACUAGCAGGUCUACUGGACUGAGUGGAUACAUAUCCACCACUAUCACUAGCAGGCCUACUGGACUGAGUGGAUACAUCUCCAUGUGUGGAGGUACUGGCUCCACCACUAUCAC